GAUCGUUGAGGUCCGUGUUGUUUUUUUAGUUAUUUGUAUGUUUUAUAUGUUAGUCAAAUCUUGGAUAGGAGAUAUUUUCAGUAGGGAGUAUUAAUUAAUGAAGGAGGUUUUAAUUAGGAAUACAUGUUAGAGACGGAAAAUGGCGUGCCAGCAGCCGCGGUUAUACGUAAGUCUCAAAUUAAAAUUAUUUUAUGGAGUUUUAGUUUAGCGGGAAGAAAUUGUUUUGAAAAUUUUUAUAGGUAGAAUUUUAAAUUUUUGUAAAUGAUUUAUGGCUAAGUUUGUAAAUUAUUUUUUAAACCAGGAUUAGAUACCCUGUUAUUAAUUUUUAUUAAAUUCUGGACUAGUAAAUUUUUAGAAAUUUAACGGAUUUGGCGGCAAAAUAGCCCUUCUAGAGGAACCUGCCCUGUGAACGAUGGACCACGAGUUACCUUACUUUUAUUAGUAAUCAGUUUGUAUACCGCUGUUGUUAGUUAGUUUCUUUAGAAAACUUUCUUAAAUGGAAAAUCCAUUUACUUCAAGUAAAGGUGCAGCUUAUAUAAAAGAUAGAGGUGGGUUACAAUUAAUUAGAAUAAUUACGGAUGCCAGGUUGAAAAAUUUGGUUAAAGGUGGAUUUAGAAGUAAAUUUAUAAGGGAAUUGAUAUGAGCACUGUUUUGUGUACACACCGCCCGUCGCUCUCACUGAAAAUGAGAUAAGUCGUAACAAGGUAAGUGUAAUGGAAAUUGUACUUGUGGAGAU
Molecule: non-coding RNA, 736 nt
Filed under: Leucolepas longa
Lineage: Eukaryota; Metazoa; Arthropoda; Thecostraca; Neolepadidae
Description: 12S ribosomal RNA
Rfam family: Microsporidia small subunit ribosomal RNA (bases 338-729)
Source: RNAcentral